This 58-nucleotide transfer RNA is filed under the name Rattus norvegicus (Norway rat). It matches the Rfam family "tRNA", at positions 7 to 64 of the family's 71-position model. Rfam says of the family: Transfer RNA (tRNA) molecules are approximately 80 nucleotides in length. Their secondary structure includes four short double-helical elements and three loops (D, anti-codon, and T loops). The record is from Rfam by way of RNAcentral. Lineage: Eukaryota; Metazoa; Chordata; Mammalia; Rodentia; Muridae.
AUAGCUCAGUGGUAGAGCACUUGCUUAUAGUGCAAGAGACCUGAAUUCAAUUCUUAGU